GACGAACGCUGGCGGCGUGCCUAAUACAUGCAAGUAGAACGCUGAAGAGAGGAGCUUGCUCUUCUUGGAUGAGUUGCGAACGGGUGAGUAACGCGUAGGUAACCUGCCUUGUAGCGGGGGAUAACUAUUGGAAACGAUAGCUAAUACCGCAUAACAAUAGGUGACACAUGUCAUUUAUUUGAAAGGGGCAAUUGCUCCACUACAAGAUGGACCUGCGUUGUAUUAGCUAGUAGGUGAGGUAACGGCUCACCUAGGCGACGAUACAUAGCCGACCUGAGAGGGGGAACGGCCACCCUGGGACUUGGACACGGCCCCGAACUCUCCGGGAGGCAGCAGGAGGGAAUCUUCGGCAAUGGGGGCAACCCUGACCGAGCAACGCCGCGUGAGUGAAGAAGGUUUUCGGAUCGUAAAGCUCUGUUGUAAGUCAAGAACGAGUGUGAGAGUGGAAAGUUCACACUGUGACGGUAGCUUACCAGAAAGGGACGGCUAACUACGUG
RNAcentral lists this ribosomal RNA (497 nucleotides) under uncultured bacterium. RNAcentral's name for it is "partial 16S ribosomal RNA". It matches the Rfam family "Bacterial small subunit ribosomal RNA", at positions 28 to 507 of the family's 1533-position model. The record is from RNAcentral.